This 497-nucleotide ribosomal RNA is filed under the name uncultured bacterium. RNAcentral's name for it is "partial 16S ribosomal RNA". It matches the Rfam family "Bacterial small subunit ribosomal RNA", at positions 28 to 507 of the family's 1533-position model. The record is from RNAcentral.
GAUGAACGCUGGCGGCGUGCCUAAUACAUGCAAGUCGAGCGAACAGAUGAGGAGCUUGCUCCUUUGACGUUAGCGGCGGACGGGUGAGUAACACGUGGGUAACCUACCUAUAAGACUGGGAUAACUUCGGGAAACCGGAGCUAAUACCGGAUAACAUUUUGAACCGCAUGGUUCUAAAGUGAAAGAUGGUUUUGCUAUCACUUAUAGAUGGACCCGCGCCGUAUUAGCUAGUUGGUAAGGUAACGGCUUACCAAGGCAACGAUACGUAGCCGACCUGAGAGGGUGAUCGGCCACACUGGAACUGAGACACGGUCCAGACUCCUACGGGAGGCAGCAGUAGGGAAUCUUCCGCAAUGGGCGAAAGCCUGACGGAGCAACGCCGCGUGAGUGAUGAAGGUGUUCGGCUCGUAAAACUCUGUUAUUAGGGAAGAACAAACGUGUAAGUAACUGUGCACGUCUUGACGGUACCUAAUCAGAAAGCCACGGCUAACUACGUG